RNAcentral lists this ribosomal RNA (184 nucleotides) under Daboia russelii (Russell's viper). RNAcentral's name for it is "partial 12S ribosomal RNA". Lineage: Eukaryota; Metazoa; Chordata; Lepidosauria; Squamata; Viperidae. The record is from RNAcentral.
CGCUGUCGUACGUCACAGUUAGUCAAAAAACUGCUCGCCAGACACUACGAGCCACAGCUUAAACUCACAGGACCUGGCGGUGCUUCAUAUCCCUCUAGAGGAGCCUGUUCUGUAAUCGAUAAACCCCGAUCAACCUCACCACCUCUUGCUCAGCCUAUAUACCGCCAUCUUCAGCAAACAAACA